CCUACGGGAGGCAGCAGUGAGGAAUAUUGGUCAAUGGGCGCGAGCCUGAACCAGCCAAGUCGCGUGAGGGAGGACGGCCCUACGGGUUGUAAACCUCUUUUGCCGGGGAGCAACGGGCGCCACGUGUGGCGCCACUGAGAGUACCCGGAGAAAAAGCAUCGGCUAACUCCGUGCCAGCAACCGCGGUAAUACGGAGGAUGCGAGCGUUAUCCGGUUUUAUUGGGUUUAAGGGGUGCGUAGGCGGUUCGUUAAGUCGGUGGUAAAAUGGGGGGGUCCAACCCCUACCCGCAGUUGAAACUGGCGAUCUUGAGUGGAAGAGAGGUAUGCGGAAUGCGUGGUGUAGCGGUGAAAUGCAUAGAUAUCACGCAGAACCCCGAUUGCGAAGGCAGCAUGCCGGCUUCCGACUGACGCUGAGGCACGAAAGCGUGGGGAUCGAACAGGAUUAGAUACCCGAGUAGUC
This 460-nucleotide ribosomal RNA is filed under the name uncultured bacterium. RNAcentral describes it as "partial 16S ribosomal RNA". It matches the Rfam family "Bacterial small subunit ribosomal RNA", at positions 338 to 795 of the family's 1533-position model. The record is from RNAcentral.